GGUUACAGUACAUUCCUUAUAUUUUCUUGACUUUACUAUGCUAAAAUAUUAGCCAACGACGUACAGAGCAGCAAUUUAAUUCUUUUUCACUCUAGCAUAACGUUGUGGUUUUAAGACGAGAUGAGCAACAAAGCUUCUGUCCGUUUAAGUGAAAUUCGGGCUUUUUUCGAAGGGAAGUAAAGUGAAAGAAUAUCAUUUCUUGAUAUAUAAGGCUAAAGGGCGACGAAGCAAGCUUGAUUACGGUUGAUGUACGACAGGUAAAUAUAGUCGGUUUGGUGACCCUCCAGCUUAGGACUUCUACUCAGCUGUCUUGGAGAGCUCCACUAUUCCGGAGUUUAGACUUUUGGUACAGAUCUUAUGAUAUAUAUAUAUAUAUAUAUAUAUAUAUAUAUGUAUGUUUAUCCAGGGGUACGACGGGGCCCUGUCCCGUCAUAUUUCACUGUUAGUACUCUUAGAGGUCUGUAGACAUAUGUGUGGGUUGUGUAUAAGUUCUGGUCAGCUGUGUCUAUACGAUGUGCUAUGGAUAUGUUCGUCGGUAGUGGCAGCCUGGUCGGCUUGCAUAUGAUAUUGAUAUGUAGUGGCAGCCUUGUCGGCUUGCGUAUCAUUUUAUGAUUUGAUUAAUUGUGACUCCUCAGGAGACAGUUUAUCUGAAUAUACAUAAAUGAUGACAUUAUGAACCGCUGGAG
Long non-coding RNA from Lycium barbarum (goji berry), 686 nucleotides. RefSeq lists it as uncharacterized. The record is from RefSeq and is a predicted model, not a curated record. The transcript is spliced from 3 exons. Lineage: Eukaryota; Viridiplantae; Streptophyta; Magnoliopsida; Solanales; Solanaceae.